This 417-nucleotide ribosomal RNA is filed under the name uncultured bacterium. RNAcentral describes it as "bacterial SSU rRNA". It matches the Rfam family "Bacterial small subunit ribosomal RNA", at positions 506 to 921 of the family's 1533-position model. The record is from RNAcentral.
UGCCAGCAGCCGCGGUAAUACGUAGGGAGCGAGCGUUGUCCGGAAUUACUGGGCGUAAAGGGCGCGUAGGCGGGAUCUUAAGUUAGGUGUGAAAACUCCGGGCUCAACCUGGAGACUGCACUUAAAACUGGGAUUCUUGAGGGCAGGAGAGGAAAGUGGAAUUCCUAGUGUAGCGGUGAAAUGCGUAGAUAUUAGGAGGAACACCAGUGGCGAAGGCGACUUUCUGGACUGUACCUGACGCUGAGGCGCGAAAGCGUGGGGAGCAAACGGGAUUAGAUACCCCGGUAGUCCACGCCGUAAACGAUGGGUACUAGGUGUAGGAGGUAUCGACCCCUUCUGUGCCGCAGUUAACGCAAUAAGUACCCCGCCUGGGGAGUACGGCCGCAAGGUUGAAACUUAAAGGAAUUGGCGGGGGAC